Molecule: small RNA, 286 nt
Filed under: Paenibacillus selenitireducens
Lineage: Bacteria; Bacillati; Bacillota; Bacilli; Caryophanales; Paenibacillaceae
Description: 5' ureB small RNA
Rfam family: 5' ureB small RNA
Source: Rfam by way of RNAcentral
UCCACUUGAUAGGGAUUAAUCACAUGAACAUGACUGUCAAUGCCUCCCGCAGUCACAAUAAGCCCUUCAGCAGAGAUCACUUCGGUUCCCGCACCGAUAAUCAGAUCGACACCAUCCAUCAGAAGCGGAUUACCACUUUUCCCAAUACCGGAAAUUUUACCGUCCACAAUGCCAAUAUCCGCUUUAUAGAUACCGGUAUAAUCUACAAUAACCGCAUUCGUAAUUACGACGUCCAGCGCACCAUCUGCACGGGUUGCGAGUGGAUGCUGCCCCAUGCCGUCACGAA